GUCCCGACGGGAGAAUCUGGGAAGCCGGUGAGACUCCGGCACAGGCCCGCUGCGGUGACCCGGACGCCGCCGACCACGAGGUCGGCAGCGAUCCGGGCAAGUCCGAAGACCGGC
RNAcentral lists this non-coding RNA (114 nucleotides) under Nocardioides scoriae. Lineage: Bacteria; Bacillati; Actinomycetota; Actinomycetes; Propionibacteriales; Nocardioidaceae. The record is from RNAcentral.